Anguilla anguilla (European eel) is the source of this 963-nucleotide long non-coding RNA. RefSeq lists it as uncharacterized. The record is from RefSeq and is a predicted model, not a curated record. Lineage: Eukaryota; Metazoa; Chordata; Actinopteri; Anguilliformes; Anguillidae. The transcript has 3 exons.
UUGCAGCUGCUCAAAUAAUCCACUAACCUCUUCUGACAAUCUUUGAAUGAUCUCUGCAGUUUCUGAACCGUUACUAAAUGAGUAGUUCAAUUGGAAAGAAGCUCUAGGUAUUUUUCUGACUGUGGCAUCAAUCUCUUCACUAAGAAGUGUGUUUUCUCAUUUUUGUAGGGUCAGCAGUCCAUCCUGAUCAAACCGCUCCAAAAACUGGAUACCAACAGUGCCCUCAGCAAACUUCAGGCUGGGAGCUUCUUAAUUCAUAGGCCCCUGGGAAUUAAGCGUUUCCUCCAGUAGUCUGAUAGAGCAACAUAAUUCAAGUUCAUGAUCCUUCUCCAUCAGGUGUCUCAAAGUCAUCAUCAUCUUCAAAGGGCAAAUAACAAGGAUUUUAAUAAAGAAGAAGCAAAACAACAGGAACAAACACGAGAACUAACAACGAACUUCAGAAUGUGAGAAGCUAACAAAGACUAGGGAGCAAAAGACAAGUGACAGGCAAGCAAAGCAAACACUAGAACCAAGCAAAGAACUAACAAGCACAAGGAACUAAAAUACAAAGAAGCACAGAAGCACACAGAAGAACUUUAACUUCUGUACCAUCUGAACCCAUGUAAACACACAGUAGGCUAGGAAUCUGGUUUCUCUCUGGUUGCAUUGAGUUCUUCCUGUAGUUGUGCUAUUUUAUGAUGGAUUGUUUUGCUAGAUGAUAUAAGAUCUUCCUUGUCUUCUCCUGUUGACAUUACUGCUCAUCAGCUGGACCCAUCAGAGUGUGUACUAAAGACUACACCUUAAAAUAUUAAGCUUCUUUGCAAUUUCUGGCUGGGAAUAACCUUCUUGCCACAAUACGUUAACUUGGCCCCAUUAUGCCUAACUCCUUUGCCAUGGAACCCAGUGCACGGCCCCAGCUCAAGCCUGGCUUACAGUCCCCAGCUCCUAGCUCCCAGCAGCUCGAACUUGGAGCUCCGAGCUUGC